AUUUGUGGUUACAACACCCUGAAUUCAUCUGAUCUUAGAAGCUGCACAGGGUUGGGCUUGGUUAGUACUUGGAUGGAGGUUACAGUGAGAAUCACCAUGCUAUUGAAAUUU
This 111-nucleotide ribosomal RNA is filed under the name Nannospalax galili (Upper Galilee mountains blind mole rat). The record is from RNAcentral. Lineage: Eukaryota; Metazoa; Chordata; Mammalia; Rodentia; Spalacidae.